RNAcentral lists this transfer RNA (72 nucleotides) under Camelus bactrianus (Bactrian camel). It matches the Rfam family "tRNA". Rfam says of the family: Transfer RNA (tRNA) molecules are approximately 80 nucleotides in length. RNAcentral also lists the same sequence under 2 other names. Lineage: Eukaryota; Metazoa; Chordata; Mammalia; Artiodactyla; Camelidae. The record is from Rfam by way of RNAcentral.
GUGUGUAUAGUUCAGUGGUCGAGUGCAUGCCUAGCACUCAUUAGAUCCUGGGUUCAAUCCCCAGUACUUCCA